This 137-nucleotide small RNA is filed under the name uncultured Sporosarcina sp. RNAcentral's name for it is "Ribosomal protein L10 leader". It matches the Rfam family "Ribosomal protein L10 leader". From Rfam's summary of the family: This family is a putative r-protein leader autoregulatory structure found in B. subtilis and other low-GC Gram-positive bacteria. It is located in the 5' untranslated regions of mRNAs encoding ribosomal proteins L10 and L12 (rplJ-rplL). A Rho-independent transcription terminator structure that is probably involved in regulation is included at the 3' end. Lineage: Bacteria; Bacillati; Bacillota; Bacilli; Caryophanales; Caryophanaceae. The record is from RNAcentral.
AUUAAAUCAUUUGUACCGUAGACAGCAGGGGCGUUAAUCGCUUAAUCUUCCUGCCGAGGACAAGACGCUCAUUUAUUUAAGAUGACGACUUUUCUGCCCUCGUGGUCUACUUUGUAGAUUGCGGGGGCUUUUCAUAU